CCUGGUGACUUUCCAACCAUUUUCUUUCUUACUUUCUAUCAUCAUACUUAUAUCUAUAACUAUUGUUGUUCAGGCCCUUGUGAGCCAAUCUGGCAUGCCCUUGCGUGGCUUGAAGCUCACUCCUUGUGGUGGAUACAGCACCUGCUCCCAGGCAACGAGACAUCUCUGAAGUCUUCUGAAUCACUCCCUUUCUAUGGAGAACUCUUGGAAGUGCUAGUAAGAACAGUGGAGGGCUGGUGGAAGUCACCGGCAUGUUCACAGCUGGAAAAGCAUGGCAGACCAGAAAUGUCCCCUGUGACUGGAACUGGAGCUGAUUGUCUGAGGGUCCCUCAUUGGCUUCGUGACGGAAAGUGGUUGAUUCACCUCCACCCAGCGGUAAUUACGUGUUGCUGCCUACUGGAAGUUCCCAUGUUUGGCAUUGGACUGGUAACACAGCUGCUGCCACAGCAGGUUACUGAGACGUAG
RNAcentral lists this long non-coding RNA (465 nucleotides) under Numida meleagris (helmeted guineafowl). Its description in RNAcentral is "lncRNA (ENSNMEG00000018572.1)". The record is from RNAcentral. Lineage: Eukaryota; Metazoa; Chordata; Aves; Galliformes; Numididae.